AGAAUCAACGCUGGCGGCGUGCCUAAUACAUGCAAGUCGAACGCGAAAGUCCCGCAAGGGAUGAGUAGAGUGGCAAACGGGUGAGUAACGCGUGGGUGACCUGCCUUCGAGUGGGGGAUAACGUUUCGAAAGGAACGCUAAUACCGCAUGACAUCCUGUCUUUUAACAGACGGAGAUCAAAGCCGGGGAUCGCAAGACCUGGCGCUUGAAGAGGGGCCCGCGUCCGAUUAGCUAGUUGGUGGGGUAAUGGCUCACCAAGGCAACGAUCGGUA
RNAcentral lists this ribosomal RNA (272 nucleotides) under uncultured soil bacterium. RNAcentral's name for it is "partial 16S ribosomal RNA". It matches the Rfam family "Bacterial small subunit ribosomal RNA", at positions 26 to 285 of the family's 1533-position model. The record is from RNAcentral.